This 592-nucleotide long non-coding RNA is filed under the name Homo sapiens (human). RNAcentral describes it as "HSALNT0335353". Lineage: Eukaryota; Metazoa; Chordata; Mammalia; Primates; Hominidae. The record is from RNAcentral.
AUUUCUACUGUCUUACAUUGCUCCUAACGUAUAUCAUGAGCUCUUAAAUAUUUGUUGAAGAAAUGAACUAGCGUAUUUUGAUAACUAUAAUGUGUGAAGCCCCUGGUUGCGUCUGUUGCACACUGGAAUUAAGGGGUUAAAAACCUUUUCCCUUGCUGCUUGAGAAUCUGAUCUUUGGUUUAGCCACCUAGCUCUGUUACCCUGGAAACCAGGUAAGAGCUUAGGCAUCCACAAUAUUGCUAGGCAACACUGCUUACGGUAAAAAUGAUCCUUGGUUGGUAAACUGCAUCUGAACCAGGAAGAAAUAUGAAUGAGCUGUAAAUGUCUGAUAGGACACUUUGGCCUUCCCUGAAUGCAGUUUCUUCUUGGGAACCCUACAAACUAUAUCAAGAAUUGUUACAAGAGAUACUGGCUGCUUAAGGCAGGAGGCUUCUUCUGAGCCAGGGCAGCUCCCGUACCUCCCUGAUGUGGAGCUUAGGCUUUGUACCUGGAACUACGUCGUGUGGGGAGACAACAGUCCCCAGAAAGUCGCAGGUGCAGUCCAUCUCCAACAACAAACUGUAGCCCACGGCAAGAGGAAGGUACAAGCCUG